AAGUGAUCCAGCUCUUCUAGAAUUUUGUCUAGCAGGUUUGUGGUUUAUCCCGGAGAGACCCCU
Small nuclear RNA from Peromyscus maniculatus bairdii (prairie deer mouse), 63 nucleotides. Its record names the gene U7. It matches the Rfam family "U7 small nuclear RNA". From Rfam's summary of the family: Animal histone pre-mRNAs are spliced by a different mechanism than nuclear pre-mRNAs and self-splicing introns. This processing involves the U7 snRNP, which contains only one RNA species: U7. The 5' end of U7 RNA is thought to base-pair to a conserved spacer element downstream of the cleavage site in histone pre-mRNA. The record is from Ensembl. Lineage: Eukaryota; Metazoa; Chordata; Mammalia; Rodentia; Cricetidae.